This is a small RNA of Mycobacterium marinum M, 295 nucleotides long. It matches the Rfam family "5' ureB small RNA". NCBI's taxonomy places the organism in Bacteria, Bacillati, Actinomycetota, Actinomycetes, Mycobacteriales, Mycobacteriaceae. The record is from Rfam.
CCUCGGCGAUGACCUGAGGACAGAUCAAGUGCACAUGGCAGUCGAUGGCACCCGCGGUGACAAUGCGCCCGUUUCCGCCAAUGAUCUCGGUGGACGGUCCGACCACUAAGUCGGGAUGAAUACCCGACAUGAUGUUGGGGUUGCCGGCCUUGCCGAUUGCGACGAUGCGCCCGUCACGGAUGCCGAUAUCCGCCUUGAUGAUUCCCCAGUAGUCAAUGAUUACCGCGCCGGUGAUCACGGUGUCGGGCGCGCCCUCGGCCCGCGUGACACGCCCCUGGCCCAUGGACUCGCGCAG